RNAcentral lists this transfer RNA (68 nucleotides) under Trochus rota. Its description in RNAcentral is "tRNA-Val". The record is from RNAcentral. RNAcentral also lists the same sequence under 1 other name. Lineage: Eukaryota; Metazoa; Mollusca; Gastropoda; Trochida; Trochidae.
UAGGGUAUAGCAUAAAUUAAUGUGUUUCGCUUACAUUGAAAUGAUGGCUAAGUAAGAGUCUGCCCUAA